GACGAACGCUGGCGGCGCGCCUAACACAUGCAAGUCGAACGAGCGAGAGAGAGCUUGCUUUCUUGAGCGAGUGGCGAAAGGGUGAGUAACGCGUGAGGAACCUGCCUCAAAGAGGGGGACAACAGUUGGAAACGACUGCUAAUACCGCAUAAGCCCACGGUGCCGCAUGGCACAGAGGGAAAAGGAGCAAUCCGCUUUGAGAUGGCCUCGCGUCCGGUUAGCUAGGUGGUGAGGUAACGGCCCACCAAGGCGACGAUCGGUAGCCGGACUGAGAGGUUGAACGGCCACAUUGGGACUGAGACACGGCCCAGACUCCUACGGGAGGCAGCAGUGGGGAAUAUUGCACAAUGGGGGAAACCCUGAUGCAGCGACGCCGCGUGGAGGAAGAAGGUCUUCGGAUUGUAAACUCCUGUUGUUGGGGAAGAUAAUGACGGUACCCAACAAGGAAGUGACGGCUAACUACGUG
Molecule: ribosomal RNA, 466 nt
Filed under: uncultured bacterium
Lineage: Bacteria
Description: partial 16S ribosomal RNA
Rfam family: Bacterial small subunit ribosomal RNA
Source: RNAcentral